This 465-nucleotide ribosomal RNA is filed under the name Vreelandella stevensii. RNAcentral's name for it is "partial 16S ribosomal RNA". It matches the Rfam family "Bacterial small subunit ribosomal RNA", at positions 338 to 795 of the family's 1533-position model. The record is from RNAcentral. Lineage: Bacteria; Pseudomonadati; Pseudomonadota; Gammaproteobacteria; Oceanospirillales; Halomonadaceae.
CCUACGGGGGGCUGCAGUGGGGAAUAUUGGACAAUGGGGGCAACCCUGAUCCAGCCAUGCCGCGUGUGUGAAGAAGGCCCUCGGGUUGUAAAGCACUUUCAGUGAGGAAGAACGCCUGGUGGUUAAUACCCAUCAGGAAAGACAUCACUCACAGAAGAAGCACCGGCUAACUCCGUGCCAGCAGCCGCGGUAAUACGGAGGGUGCGAGCGUUAAUCGGAAUUACUGGGCGUAAAGCGUGCGUAGGUGGCUUGAUAAGCCGGUUGUGAAAGCCCCGGGCUCAACCUGGGAACGGCAUCCGGAGCUGUCAAGCUAGAGUGCAGGAGAGGAAGGUAGAAUUCCCGGUUUAGCGGUGAAAUGCGUAGAGAUCGGGAGGAAUACCCGUGGCGAAGGCGGCCUUCUGGACUGACACUGACACUGAGGUGCGAAAGCGUGGGUAGCAAACAGGAUUAGAUACCCUGGUAGUC